RNAcentral lists this ribosomal RNA (254 nucleotides) under uncultured bacterium. Its description in RNAcentral is "partial 16S ribosomal RNA". It matches the Rfam family "Bacterial small subunit ribosomal RNA", at positions 524 to 778 of the family's 1533-position model. The record is from RNAcentral.
UACGAGGGGGGCGAGCGUUGUUCGGAAUUAUUGGGCGUAAAGGGUGCGUAGGCGGCCUGACAAGUCUGAUGUGAAAUCCCUGGGCUCAACCCAGGGCCUGCAUCGGAAACUGUCGGGCUUGAGUAUGGGAGAGGUGAGUGGAAUUUCCGGUGUAGCGGUGAAAUGCGUAGAUAUCGGAAGGAACACCUGUGGCGAAAGCGGCUCACUGGACCAUUACUGACGCUGAGGCACGAAAGCUAGGGGAGCAACAGGAU